This 449-nucleotide ribosomal RNA is filed under the name uncultured bacterium. Its description in RNAcentral is "bacterial SSU rRNA". It matches the Rfam family "Bacterial small subunit ribosomal RNA", at positions 330 to 792 of the family's 1533-position model. The record is from RNAcentral.
GCCAGACUCCUACGGGAGGCAGCAGUGGGGAAUAUUGGACAAUGGGGUGAACCCUGAUCCAGCGACGCCGCGUGAGUGAAGAAGUAUUUCGGUAGGUAAAGCUCUAUCAGCAGGGAAGAAAGAAAUGACGGUACCUGACUAAGAAGCCCCGGCUAACUACGUGCCAGCAGCCGCGGUAAUACGUAGGGGGCAAGCGUUAUCCGGAUUUACUGGGUGUAAAGGGAGCGUAGACGGCGAUGCAAGUCUGAAGUGAAAGGCGGGGGCCCAACCCCCGGACUGCUUUGGAAACUGUAUAGCUGGAGUGCAGGAGAGGUAAGUGGAAUUCCUAGUGUAGCGGUGAAGUGCGUAGAUAUUAGGAGGAACACCAGUGGCGAAGGCGGCUUGCUGGACUGUAACUGACGUUGAGGCUCGAAAGCGUGGGGAGCAAACAGGAUUAGAUACCCUGUACA